Molecule: non-coding RNA, 1128 nt
Organism: Schizosaccharomyces pombe (fission yeast)
Lineage: Eukaryota; Fungi; Ascomycota; Schizosaccharomycetes; Schizosaccharomycetales; Schizosaccharomycetaceae
Source: the annotation of a GenBank genome assembly
AAUUUCAAGACGAUCAAUCAAAUCCGCAUCACGAUUAGCAGUUUCAGGCAAAAUUAAAGUAACAACAGCUCCAGCAACCAUGCAUCCGAAGAAUAUCCACAAAACAUUGCCAAAACCAAUUACCUCGGUAAGUUUAUUGAAUAGAAGAGCAGAUAAAAUGGCACCGGCCUUACCACAUGCAGCGCAUAUGCCAUGUGAAAAAGCACGAACUCUGGAGGGAAACACUUCCGCAGGAAUGACAAAGCAGGUGGUGUUUGGACCAAAGUUGAAGAAAAAUUGGGCAAGAGCGACGCACGCAAAGCGACCACCAGUUGAAAUAGUUUCCCAUGUUCCAGCUAAAACGCCAAAUAAAAGACAGCAAAUAAGGAAACCUUGAAUUUGAAUCCAUUUUCGGCCCAUUACCUCAAUCAAUACGACACUCACCCAAUAUCCAGGAAUGUAGCCAGCAACUGCAAUAAUCAGAUUACCGAUUGCAUUCUUUUGAAGAAUAUGAUAUUCGUUGACACCUUUGUUAAACCCCAUUUCUUGAAGAAUAACAGACUGAUUCAAAUUUAUCCCGUAAAAAGCAAUAUCAAGCAAAAACCAUGAAAGCGCAGACCCAAUUAAAAGUUUAGCAUGUCUCCACUCUUUAAAGUAUGAAACAAACGAAGAACCGGUUUGAAUAUCAGACUCCUUACCUUCCGUAUUAGAUUCGACAGAGGUAGUAGAAGGAGCACGACUAGGAGCACUGCUGGGAGCAACUUCGUUAUUGGGACGGAUAUGAACGGAACCUGGGUUCUUUUUAUCGGACAAGGAAGCUGUAGAAGGGGAAGAAGUUGUAAACUCCGCAGUUAAGGACUCUUUUUUCUUGAAAUCAUGUAAUUCGAUUUGAGAGGCAGAAUCAAGAUCACCCUCCCCGGGAGAUUUCAUGUUUUUUGAAUUCUUAAAUUGUUCUGAUUCCUGCAUACGCAAGCGUGGAAUCAAAACGAUCACAGCUGGAAAGAGAGCAAUGCCAAACUGAAUGCGCCAAACGCCAUUCAGCUUCGUAUACUCACCGCGAUCAUUCAAAGGUUUUUCGAAACAAGCCAAAAUAAUCAAAGUAGCAACACAGCCAGCCAGAGUACCCCAUCCUUGGUUGGAGAAAAUCCA